RNAcentral lists this ribosomal RNA (407 nucleotides) under uncultured bacterium. RNAcentral's name for it is "partial 16S ribosomal RNA". It matches the Rfam family "Bacterial small subunit ribosomal RNA", at positions 30 to 526 of the family's 1533-position model. The record is from RNAcentral.
AUUGAACGCUAGCGGGAUGCCUAACACAUGCAAGUCGAACGGAGUGGCGAAAGGGUGAGUGAUGUAUCGGAAUGUGCCCAGUAGCGGGGGAUAACUAUGCGAAAGCGUAGCCAAUACCGCAUACUUUUGGAGCGGCCGAUAUCGGCUUUGCUAGUUGGUGGGGUAACGGCUCACCAAGGCGACGAUCCGUAGCUGGUUUGAGAGGACGAUCAGCCACACUGGGACUGAGACACGGCCCAGACUCCUACGGGAGGCAGCAGUGGGGAAUUUUGGACAAUGGGGGAAAGCCUGAUCCAGCCAUGCCGCGUGUGCGAUGAAGGCCUUCGGGUUGUAAAGCACUUUUGGCAGGAAAGCGGUACCUGCAGAAUAAGCACCGGCUAACUACGUGCCAGCAGCCGCGGUAAUUC